RNAcentral lists this ribosomal RNA (702 nucleotides) under uncultured bacterium. RNAcentral's name for it is "bacterial SSU rRNA". It matches the Rfam family "Bacterial small subunit ribosomal RNA", at positions 547 to 1250 of the family's 1533-position model. The record is from RNAcentral.
GNAUUUAUUGGGCGUAAAGCGAGCGCAGGCGGUUAGAUAAGUCUGAAGUUAAAGGCUGUGGCUUAACCAUAGUACGCUUUGGAAACUGUUUAACUNGAGUGCAGAAGGGGAGAGUGGAAUUCCAUGUGUAGCGGUGAAAUGCGUAGAUAUAUGGAGGAACACCGGUGGCGAAAGCGGCUCUCUGGUCUGUAACUGACGCUGAGGCUCGAAAGCGUGGGGAGCGAACAGGAUUAGAUACCCUGGUAGUCCACGCCGUAAACGAUGAGUGCUAGGUGUUAGGCCCUUUCCGGGGCUUAGUGCCGCAGCUAACGCAUUAAGCACUCCGCCUGGGGAGUACGACCGCAAGGUUGAAACUCAAAGGAAUUGACGGGGGCCCGCACAAGCGGUGGAGCAUGUGGUUUAAUUCGAAGCAACGCGAAGAACCUUACCAGGUCUUGACAUCCCGAUGCCCGCUCUAGAGAUAGAGUUUUACUUCGGUACAUCGGUGACAGGUGGUGCAUGGUUGUCGUCAGCUCGCGUCGUGAGAUGUUGGGUUAAGUCCCGCAACGAGCGCAACCCUUAUUGUUAGUUGCCAUCAUUCAGUUGGGCACUCUAGCGAGACUGCCGGUAAUAAACCGGAGGAAGGUGGGGAUGACGUCAAAUCAUCAUGCCCCUUAUGACCUGGGCUACACACGUGCUACAAUGGCUGGUACAACGAGUCGC